RNAcentral lists this ribosomal RNA (401 nucleotides) under uncultured bacterium. RNAcentral describes it as "bacterial SSU rRNA". It matches the Rfam family "Bacterial small subunit ribosomal RNA", at positions 359 to 776 of the family's 1533-position model. The record is from RNAcentral.
GAAUUUUGCGCAAUGGGCGAAAGCCUGACGCAGCAACGCCGCGUGGGGGAUGAAGGCCUUCGGGUUGUAAACCCCUUUUAGGCGGGACGGAAUUGACGGUACCUCCAGAAAAAGCCCCGGCCAACUACGUGCCAGCAGCCGCGGUAAUACGUAGGGGGCGAGCGUUGUCCGGAAUUAUUGGGCGUAAAGAGCUCGUAGGCGGCUUAGUAAGUCGGCGGUGAAAUACCGAGGCUCAACCUCGGCACUGCCGUCGAUACUGCUAUGGCUAGAGUUUGGUAGAGGAGAACGGAAUUCCCGGUGUAGCGGUGGAAUGCGCAGAUAUCGGGAGGAACACCCGUAGCGAAGGCGGUUCUCUGGGCCAAUACUGACGCUGAGGAGCGAAAGCGUGGGGAGCAAACAGG